UACAGAGGUCUCAAGCGUUGUUCGGAUUCAUUGGGCGUAAAGGGUGUGUAGGUGGCGCGGUAAGUCGGGUGUGAAAUCUCGGAGCUUAACUCCGAAACUGCAUUCGAUACUGCCGUGCUUGAGGACUGGAGAGGAGACUGGAAUUUACGGUGUAGCGGUGAAAUGCGUAGAUAUCGUAAGGAAGACCAGUGGCGAAGGCGGGUCUCUGGACAGUUCCUGACGCUGAGGCACGAAGGUCAGGGGAGCAAACGGG
Molecule: ribosomal RNA, 253 nt
Filed under: uncultured bacterium
Lineage: Bacteria
Description: partial 16S ribosomal RNA
Rfam family: Bacterial small subunit ribosomal RNA
Source: RNAcentral